RNAcentral lists this ribosomal RNA (714 nucleotides) under Triticum aestivum (bread wheat). RNAcentral describes it as "partial small subunit ribosomal RNA". The record is from RNAcentral. Lineage: Eukaryota; Viridiplantae; Streptophyta; Magnoliopsida; Poales; Poaceae.
CGCAAGUCAGACGACACAUGGCGUUUCUGCAUCGACUACCGUGCCCUUAAUGUUGUCACCCUUAAGGACAAGUUCCCUAUUCCGGUGGUCGACGAGCUCCUCGAUGAGCUCCACGGGGCGCGCUUCUUCACCAAACUUGACCUCCGGUCGGGGUACCACCAGGUGCGCAUGCACCCGGAUGACAUUGCCAAGACGGCGUUUCGGACUCAUCACGGCCACUUCGAGUUCUUGGUGAUGCCCUUUGGCCUCACCAAUGCCCCGGCGACCUUCCAGGCUUUGAUGAACGACGUCCUCAUUCCCUACUUACACCGGUUUGUGCUCGUUUUCUUUGAUGAUAUUCUAAUCUACAGUGCGUCUUGGGCCGAGCAUCUCCAGCACGUCGCUAUCGUCUUCAACGAGCUUCGAGCGCACCACCUCCACCUUAAGCGCUCGAAGUGCUCGUUCGGGACGCCUUCGGUGGCCUACUUGGGCCACGCCAUCUCGGCCGACGGGGUGGCUAUGGACACCGACAAGGUGGCAGCCGUCUCCGCAUGGCCGACGCCUCACUCGCCGCAGGCUCUCCGCGGGUUCCUCGGCCUCGCCGGCUACUACCGGAAAUUUAUCCGGGAGUUCGGGCUUAUCGCGGCGCCCCUCACGCGGUUGCUUCGCCGCGACGCUUUCGCCUGGGACGACGAGGCGACAACGGCGUUCGAGGCCCUCAAGGGGGCCCUCACG